RNAcentral lists this ribosomal RNA (253 nucleotides) under uncultured bacterium. RNAcentral describes it as "partial 16S ribosomal RNA". It matches the Rfam family "Bacterial small subunit ribosomal RNA", at positions 524 to 776 of the family's 1533-position model. The record is from RNAcentral.
UACGAAGGGGGCUAGCGUUGUUCGGAAUCACUGGGCGUAAAGCGCACGUAGGCGGCUUGUUAAGUCAGGGGUGAAAUCCUGGAGCUCAACUCCAGAACUGCCUUUGAUACUGCAAAUCUCGAGUCCGGAAGAGGUGAGUGGAAUUCCUAGUGUAGAGGUGAAAUUCGUAGAUAUUAGGAAGAACACCAGUGGCGAAGGCGGCUCACUGGUCCGGUACUGACGCUGAGGCGCGAAAGCCAGGGGAGCAAACGGG